RNAcentral lists this ribosomal RNA (534 nucleotides) under Dietzia maris. RNAcentral describes it as "bacterial SSU rRNA". It matches the Rfam family "Bacterial small subunit ribosomal RNA", at positions 373 to 918 of the family's 1533-position model. Lineage: Bacteria; Bacillati; Actinomycetota; Actinomycetes; Mycobacteriales; Dietziaceae. The record is from RNAcentral.
GGGCGAAAGCCUGAUGCAGCGACGCCGCGUGGGGGAUGACGGUCUUCGGAUUGUAAACCCCUUUCAGUAGGGACGAAGCGCAAGUGACGGUACCUGCAGAAGAAGCACCGGCUAACUACGUGCCAGCAGCCGCGGUAAUACGUAGGGUGCGAGCGUUGUCCGGAAUUACUGGGCGUAAAGAGCUCGUAGGCGGUUUGUCACGUCGUCUGUGAAAUCCCUCGGCUUAACCGGGGGCGUGCAGGCGAUACGGGCAGACUUGAGUACUACAGGGGAGACUGGAAUUCCUGGUGUAGCGGUGAAAUGCGCAGAUAUCAGGAGGAACACCGGUGGCGAAGGCGGGUCUCUGGGUAGUAACUGACGCUGAGGAGCGAAAGCAUGGGUAGCGAACAGGAUUAGAUACCCUGGUAGUCCAUGCCGUAAACGGUGGGCGCUAGGUGUGGGGUCCUUCCACGGACUCCGUGCCGUAGCUAACGCAUUAAGCGCCCCGCCUGGGGAGUACGGCCGCAAGGCUAAAACUCAAAGGAAUUGACGGGG